RNAcentral lists this ribosomal RNA (262 nucleotides) under uncultured bacterium. Its description in RNAcentral is "partial 16S ribosomal RNA". It matches the Rfam family "Bacterial small subunit ribosomal RNA", at positions 15 to 251 of the family's 1533-position model. The record is from RNAcentral.
GAUCCUGGCUCAGGACGAACGCUGGCGGCGUGCCUAAUACAUGCAAGUCGAACGCUUCUUUUUCCACCGGAGCUUGCUCCACCGGAAAAAGAGGAGUGGCGAACGGGUGAGUAACACGUGGGUAACCUGCCCAUCAGAAGGGGAUAACACUUGGAAACAGGUGCUAAUACCGUAUAACAAUCGAAACCGCAUGGUUUUGAUUUGAAAGGCGCUUUCGGGUGUCGCUGAUGGAGUCGGACCCGGCGGUGCUAUUAGCGUUAGG